AGAUUGAACGCUGGCGGCAUGCCUAACACAUGCAAGUCGAACGGCAGCGCGGGGGCAACCCUGGCGGCGAGUGGCGGACGGGUGAGGAAUACAUGGGAAUCUACCCUGUCGGUGGGGGAUAACGUAGGGAAACUUACGCUAAUACCGCAUACGACCGAGAGGUGAAAGCGGCGGACCGCAAGGCGUCGCGCGACUGGAUGAGCCCAUCGUACCGAUUAGCUUAGGUUCGGGACGGGGUAAGACGCCCCAACCGAAGGGCCGACGGAGUCGGUAAGCCGUGGUCUGGAGAGGAUGAUCAGCCUACACUGGACUGAGACACGGUCAGACUCCGUACGGAGGCAG
This 342-nucleotide ribosomal RNA is filed under the name uncultured soil bacterium. RNAcentral describes it as "bacterial SSU rRNA". It matches the Rfam family "Bacterial small subunit ribosomal RNA", at positions 26 to 351 of the family's 1533-position model. The record is from RNAcentral.